This 490-nucleotide ribosomal RNA is filed under the name uncultured bacterium. RNAcentral describes it as "partial 16S ribosomal RNA". It matches the Rfam family "Bacterial small subunit ribosomal RNA", at positions 30 to 507 of the family's 1533-position model. The record is from RNAcentral.
AUUGAACGCUGGCGGCAGGCCUAACACAUGCAAGUCGAACGGUAACAGGAAGAAGCUUGCUUCUUUGCUGACGAGUGGCGGACGGGUGAGUAAUGUCUGGGAAACUGCCUGAUGGAGGGGGAUAACUACUGGAAACGGUAGCUAAUACCGCAUAACGUCGCAAGACCAAAGAGGGGGACCUUCGGGCCUCUUGCCAUCGGAUGUGCCCAGAUGGGAUUAGCUAGUAGGUGGGGUAACGGCUCACCUAGGCGACGAUCCCUAGCUGGUCUGAGAGGAUGACCAGCCACACUGGAACUGAGACACGGUCCAGACUACUACGGGAGGCAGCAGUGGGGAAUAUUGCACAAUGGGCGCAAGCCUGAUGGAGCAAUGCCGCGUGUAUGAAGAAGGCCUUCGGGUUGUAAAGUACUUUCAGCGGGGAGGAAGGGAGUAAAGUUAAUACCUUUGCUCAUUGACGUUACCCGCAGAAGAAGCACCGGCUAACUCCGUG